AGUGAACGCUGGCGGCAGGCCUAACACAUGCAAGUCGAACGGCAGCACAGUAAGAGCUUGCUCUUACGGGUGGCGAGUGGCGGACGGGUGAGGAAUACAUCGGAAUCUACUUUUUCGUGGGGGAUAACGUAGGGAAACUUACGCUAAUACCGCAUACGACCUACGGGUGAAAGCAGGGGAUCUUCGGACCUUGCGCGAUUGAAUGAGCCGAUGUCGGAUUAGCUAGUUGGCGGGGUAAAGGCCCACCAAGGCGACGAUCCGUAGCUGGUCUGAGAGGAUGAUCAGCCACACUGGAACUGAGACACGGUCCAGACUCCUACGGGAGGCAGCAGUGGGGAAUAUUGGACAAUGGGCGCAAGCCUGAUCCAGCCAUACCGCGUGGGUGAAGAAGGCCUUCGGGUUGUAAAGCCCUUUUGUUGGGAAAGAAAAGCAGCAGGUUAAUACCCCGCUGUUCUGACGGUACCCAAAGAAUAAGCACCGGCUAACUUCG
RNAcentral lists this ribosomal RNA (490 nucleotides) under uncultured bacterium. Its description in RNAcentral is "partial 16S ribosomal RNA". It matches the Rfam family "Bacterial small subunit ribosomal RNA", at positions 29 to 505 of the family's 1533-position model. The record is from RNAcentral.